This is a long non-coding RNA of Perca flavescens (yellow perch), 540 nucleotides long. RefSeq lists it as uncharacterized. The record is from RefSeq and is a predicted model, not a curated record. Lineage: Eukaryota; Metazoa; Chordata; Actinopteri; Perciformes; Percidae. The transcript is spliced from 5 exons.
UGUUCUGCUGGUCCUGUUGUGUGUGCAGGUUUUCCUGCUCAGCACAUCCUUUACCUCUACUGACGCAGCCGCUCUGGUGACAGAAGCUCAACAACAACAGCAACAAGAGUCUCCUGAUCUGCUGGAGGGAGUAAGUGUGCAUGACAGAGAAAGGAGAAGACAAAGAAGUAAACGACGAGCACUCAACUGCAGGUUCAGGCCGGGUGGAUGUUCAGUCUUAUUAAAGAUUGACCUCGAUGGCGAAGACAAAAAGAUUCCAAAUACACCAAACCCUCAAUUGUUGGCUUUGGACAAAACAAGACUAGCCAAGCCAGACUAAAUUCCUGAAGACAGAUGUGAAAACCUGCAUCUUCUCUUCAAGAUAGCUUUUCUCUUUUGCUUUGCCAUGUGGUGACAAUCAUCAAUCAUUGCAUGAACCUUGCAUUGUGAAUGGAAAGUCUGUGUUGACAUGGCAAUAAAGUAUUAAACAUGAACUUGUUCUGCUCACAUCAUCUAAUUGUCAGUAUUGUUCCACUGUAUGUGCACCUCAGCUCCUCAGAA